UGGGGAAUAUUGGACAAUGGGCGCAAGCCUGAUCCAGCCAUGCCGCGUGGGUGAUGAAGGCCCUAGGGUUGUAAAGCCCUUUCAGCGGGGAAGAUAAUGACGGUACCCGCAGAAGAAGCCCCGGCUAACUUCGUGCCAGCAGCCGCGGUAAUACGAAGGGGGCUAGCGUUGCUCGGAAUUACUGGGCGUAAAGCGCACGUAGGCGGAUUGUUAAGUCGGGGGUGAAAUCCUGGAGCUCAACUCCAGAACUGCCUUCGAUACUGGCGAUCUCGAGUCCGGGAGAGGUGAGUGGAACUGCGAGUGUAGAGGUGAAAUUCGUAGAUAUUCGCAAGAACACCAGUGGCGAAGGCGGCUCACUGGCCCGGUACUGACGCUGAGGUGCGAAAGCGUGGGGAGCAAACA
This 402-nucleotide ribosomal RNA is filed under the name uncultured Rhodoplanes sp. RNAcentral describes it as "bacterial SSU rRNA". It matches the Rfam family "Bacterial small subunit ribosomal RNA", at positions 355 to 774 of the family's 1533-position model. The record is from RNAcentral. Lineage: Bacteria; Pseudomonadati; Pseudomonadota; Alphaproteobacteria; Hyphomicrobiales; Nitrobacteraceae.